AGAUGUUGCAAGGUGACUGGAGUUCAGACGUGUGCUCUUCCGAUCUGAUGAAAUGUGGCUAGCGGAGAAAUUCCAAUCGAACCCGGAAAUAGCUGGUUCUCCCCGAAAUAGCUUUAGGGCUAGCGUUGUAUUAGAUUUCUGGGGGUAAAGCACUGAAUAGGCUAGGGGCCGAGAGGUUACUGAACCUUAUCAAACUAAGAAUACCAGAAAAUUGAUGUACAGCAGUCAGACUAUGUGAGAUAAGUCUCAUAGUCAAAAGGGAAACAGCCCAGACCCACAGCUAAGGUCCCAAAACAGAUUUAAGUGGAAAAGGAUGUGGGAUUGCCCAGACAACCAGGAUGUUGGCUUAGAAGCAGCCACACAUUAAAAGAGUGCGUAAUAGCUCACUGGUCGAGUGAUCCUGCGCCGAAAAUUCAACGGGGCUAAAAUUUGUACCGAAGCUUGGGCUUGAUACUUUGUAUCAGGGGUAGGGGAGCGUCAUGUAUGAGGAGAAGUCGUAGCGGAAGCGGCGGUGGAUUGUACAUGAGAGAGAAUGCCGGAAUGAGUAGCGAGAAUUAUGUGAGAAUCAUAAUGGCCGAAAAUCUAAGGUUUCCUGAGGAAGGUUCGUCCGCUCAGGGUAAGCCGGGAGCUAAGGUGAGGCGGAAACGCGUAGCCGAUGCACAUACGGUAGAGAUUCCGUAGCCUCCGAAAAGUAAAGCACAGGGACGCUUCAGAAGUGUUACGCCGGGCGAUGGUUGCCCCGGUUGUAAAGGACACAAUUGAGUGGAAGGUAACAUGGAUGGAGACAAGAAAAGCUGUGUGUAUCUGGAAGGAGCCCGUACCGCAAACCGACACAGGUAGAUAGGAAGAAGAUUCUAAGGCCAGCGGGAGAAGGGUUGUUAAGGAACUCGGCAAGUUGACCCCGUAACUUCGGGAGAAGGGGUGCUUACGAAGGUAAGCCGCAGAGAAUAGGCCCAAGCGACUGUUUAGCAAAAACACAGCUCUAUGCUAAAUCGAAAGAUGACGUAUAUGGGGUGACACCUGCCCGGUGCUGGAAGGUUAAGAGGAGAUGUGAGAGCAUUGAAUUGAAGCCCCAGUAAACGGCGGCCGUAACAAUAACGGUCCUAAGGUAGCGAAAUUCCUUGUCAGGUAAGUUCUGACCCGCACGAAUGGUGUAACGAUUUGGGCACUGUCUCAACAACCUACCCGGCGAAAUUGUAGUACCGGUGAAGAUGCCGGUUACCCGCGACUAGACGGAAAGACCCCAUGGAGCUUUACUGUAGCUUAAUAUUGGAUUUCGGCAUUUCAUGUACAGGAUAGGUGGGAGACUAGGAAACAUAGGCGUCAGCUUAUGCGGAGUCGUCCUUGGGAUACCACUCUUGGAGUGCUGAAAUUCUAACCUGCAGCCCUGAAUCGGGUUGGGGGACAUUGUUAGGUGGGCAGUUUGACUGGGGCGGUCGCCUCCAAAAAGGUAACGGAGGCGCUCAAAGGU
This 1471-nucleotide ribosomal RNA is filed under the name human gut metagenome. Its description in RNAcentral is "bacterial LSU rRNA". It matches the Rfam family "Bacterial large subunit ribosomal RNA", at positions 750 to 2317 of the family's 2925-position model. The record is from RNAcentral.